GAUGAACGCUGGCGGCGUGCCUAAUACAUGCAAGUCGAGCGAACAGACGAGGAGCUUGCUCCUCUGACGUUAGCGGCGGACGGGUGAGUAACACGUGGAUAACCUACCUAUAAGACUGGGAUAACUUCGGGAAACCGGAGCUAAUACCGGAUAAUAUAUUGAACCGCAUGGCUCAAUAGUGAAAGACGGUUUUGCUGUCACUUAUAGAUGGAUCCGCGCCGCAUUAGCUAGUUGGUAAGGUAACGGCUUACCAAGGCGACGAUGCGUUGCCGACCUGAGAGGGUGAUCGGCCACACUGGAACUGAGACACGGUCCAGACUCCUACGGGAGGCAGCAGUAGGGAAUCUUCCGCAAUGGGCGAAAGCCUGACGGAGCAACGCCGCGUGAGUGAUGAAGGUCUUCGGAUCGUAAAACUCUGUUAUUAGGGAAGAACAAAUGUGUAAGUAACUAUGCACGUCUUGACGGUACCUAAUCAGAAAGCCACGGCUAACUACGUG
This 497-nucleotide ribosomal RNA is filed under the name uncultured bacterium. RNAcentral describes it as "partial 16S ribosomal RNA". It matches the Rfam family "Bacterial small subunit ribosomal RNA", at positions 28 to 507 of the family's 1533-position model. The record is from RNAcentral.